Molecule: ribosomal RNA, 696 nt
Filed under: uncultured bacterium
Lineage: Bacteria
Description: bacterial SSU rRNA
Rfam family: Bacterial small subunit ribosomal RNA
Source: RNAcentral
AACGCUAGCUACAGGCUUAACACAUGCAAGUCGAGGGGAAACGACAUCGAAAGCUUGCUUUUGAUGGGCGUCGACCGGCGCACGGGUGAGUAACGCGUAUCCAACCUGCCCACCACUUGGGAAUAACCUUGCGAAAGUAAGACUAAUACCCAAUGAUAUCUCUAGAAGACAUCUGAAAGAGAUUAAAGGUUUAUCGGUGAUGGAUGGGGAUGCGUCUGAUUAGCUUGUUGGCGGGGUAACGGCCCACCAAGGCGACGAUCAGUAGGGGUUCUGAGAGGAAGGUCCCCCACAUUGGAACUGAGACACGGUCCAAACUCCUACGGGAGGCAGCAGUGAGGAAUAUUGGUCAAUGGACGAGAGUCUGAACCAGCCAAGUAGCGUGCAGGAAGACGGCCCUAUGGGUUGUAAACUGCUUUUAUAAGGGAAUAAAGUGAGAGUCGUGACUCUUUUUGCAUGUACCUUAUGAAUAAGGACCGGCUAAUUCCGUGCCAGCAGCCGCGGUAAUACGGAAGGUCCGGGCGUUAUCCGGAUUUAUUGGGUUUAAAGGGAGCGUAGGCCGGAGAUUAAGCGUGUUGUGAAAUGUAGAUGCUCAACAUCUGAACUGCAGCGCGAACUGGUUUCCUUGAGUACGCACAAAGUGGGCGGAAUUCGUGGUGUAGCGGUGAAAUGCUUAGAUAUCACGAAGAACUCCGAUUG